Molecule: ribosomal RNA, 723 nt
Filed under: uncultured marine eukaryote
Lineage: Eukaryota
Description: bacterial SSU rRNA
Rfam family: Eukaryotic small subunit ribosomal RNA
Source: RNAcentral
UAUCUGGUUGAUCCUGCCAGUAGUCAUAUGCUUGUCUCAAAGAUUAAGCCAUGCAUGUCUAAGUAUAAGUAUUGUACAGCGAAACUGCAGACGGCUCAUUAAAACAGUUAUGGUUUAUUUGAUGGUUCAUUGCUACUUGGAUAACCGUAGUAAUUCUAGAGCUAAUACAUGCACGAAGGAGCGACUCACGAAGCUCUGUAUUUAUUAGAUUAAAGCCAAUCCCUCACGGGUCGUGGUGAAUCAUAGUAACUUCUCGGAUCGCCGGCCCUGUUGCCAGCGACGUGUCAUUCAAAUUUCUGCCCUAUCAGCUUUAGAUGGUAGGAUAUGGGCCUACCAUGGCGGUGACGGGUGACGGAGAAUUAGGGUUCGAUUCCGGAGAGGGAGCCUGAGAAACGGCUACCACUUCUAAGGAAGGCAGCAGGCGCGCAAAUUACCCAAUCCUGAUUCAGGGAGGUAGUGACAAGAAAUAACAAUAGUUCGCCCUAGUGGUAAGCUAAUUGGAAUGAGUACAAUUUAAACAUCUUAACGAGCACCAAUUGGAGGGCAAGUCUGGUGCCAGCAGCCCGCGGUAAUUCAGCUCCAAUAGCGUAUACUAAANGUUGUGCAGUUAAAAGCUCGUAGUGGGAUUUCUGCGCGCGGGGCGUCCGCGUCUAAGGCGGUUGGGCAGCAACGCCCGCGCUCCUGCACGAUCCACGUACCAUCAUUUGGUGGCGUCUGGGAAUG